RNAcentral lists this ribosomal RNA (355 nucleotides) under Meloidogyne enterolobii. RNAcentral's name for it is "partial 16S ribosomal RNA". Lineage: Eukaryota; Metazoa; Nematoda; Chromadorea; Rhabditida; Meloidogynidae. The record is from RNAcentral.
AUUAUUUUAAGAUUAUUUUUUAUUGUUGAAAAAAUUAAAAAUAAAUUGUUUUUAACAAAAAUUAAAAUUUAUAAUAUUUCAUUUUUUGGUUUUUUGUUUUAAAUUAAAAUAAUAAAUAUGGGGGAAAAAAAAAUUUUGUUAUAAAUUAUAUUAGUUUAUUUUAAUUAAAAAUAUUUUUUAUUAAAUUUGUUUUUUUUAUUUUUUUAUAAAAAAUAUUAAUUUAAUUAUUAUUAUUGAGUUUAAUUUAGUUAUUUUUAAAAAAAUUUUGUAUAAAAUAAAUUUGAUAAUAAAUGUUUUUUAAAUUCUUUGGGGGUUUAGUUUAUGAUUUUUUGUUUCUGCUCAUUGUUAAAUAAAA